CACCUGCGCCACGAGUGGGAGCCACUUUUAUUGGGUCUAAAGCGUUCGUAGCUGGAGUAAUAAGUCUCUUGUGAAAUUGUUGCGCUUAACGUAACAUCGUGCAAGGGAAACUAUUACUCUAGAGACUGGGAAGAGAUUGGAGUAUGCCAAGGGGAGCGGUAAAAUGUUAUAAUCCUUGGUAGACUACCUGUGGCGAAGGCGCCAAUCUAGAACAGGUCUGACAGUGAGGGACGAAGGCUAGGGGAGCAAAACG
This 253-nucleotide ribosomal RNA is filed under the name uncultured archaeon. RNAcentral describes it as "partial 16S ribosomal RNA". It matches the Rfam family "Archaeal small subunit ribosomal RNA", at positions 474 to 726 of the family's 1478-position model. The record is from RNAcentral.